This is a long non-coding RNA of Trifolium pratense (red clover), 485 nucleotides long. RefSeq lists it as uncharacterized. NCBI's taxonomy places the organism in Eukaryota, Viridiplantae, Streptophyta, Magnoliopsida, Fabales, Fabaceae. The record is from RefSeq and is a predicted model, not a curated record. The transcript has 2 exons.
CACUCCUUCCUCUCUCUCUCUCACUCGGCUGCUCUCUCUCACUCACACUAUCUCCAUUGAAAAACUCAUUUCAUCAUCAUUCUUGCUUGGAUUUUGCUUGUUGGAUCAUAGGAACUUGCUAGGAAAUCACUUCACUUAAGAUGAUGGUGUGCCACUUGAGGCCGUUGGUCGUGAGGAUGGCGAGGACUUCGUGGAUUAUGCCGGAGAGUAGAUGGUAGCUUUGGUUAGGCUACAUUUUUGUUUAGGCUUAGGGCCUAGUUUCUUUUGGAUGACUGUAUAGUAUACUCAGACAUGUUUAGUGCCUUUUGGCCGUGCGAUACAUUCGGUUCACGAGUUCUGUUUUGUUUAGGUUUGUGAACUUGAUGUAUCCUUUUGGAAUGUAAAUUAUUCAGGUGCACACUUUGCUUCUCGGAAGCCCGUGAAAUACAAUCUUUGAUAUUGUAUAUUGAUUUCUGUUUGUAUGGUUUAAUGAAUGAGCUUGUAAA